AUGAUGACAAAGUCAAGAGAAAACAAAAUAAAUUUUAGAGUUGCAGAGAAGAAAAGGAAGAUGGAAGAAGAUGAAAUGUUGGUGGAAAUAAAUAAGAAUAAUAUGAGUGAGAGAAGUGUAAAAGUUGUAAUGAGAAAGAGUGUAAGAGAAGUGUGA
This is a non-coding RNA of Vicia faba (fava bean), 156 nucleotides long. The record is from the annotation of a GenBank genome assembly. Lineage: Eukaryota; Viridiplantae; Streptophyta; Magnoliopsida; Fabales; Fabaceae.